This 639-nucleotide ribosomal RNA is filed under the name Triticum aestivum (bread wheat). Its description in RNAcentral is "partial small subunit ribosomal RNA". The record is from RNAcentral. Lineage: Eukaryota; Viridiplantae; Streptophyta; Magnoliopsida; Poales; Poaceae.
GUGAACGUUCCGAAAACCAAGAAGACCUACUGCAAGAACAAGGAGUGCAAGAAGCACACCCUCCACAAGGUCACACAAUAUAAGAAGGGAAAGGACAGUCUUUCUGCUCAGGGGAAGCGUCGUUAUGACCGCAAGCAGUCAGGAUAUGGUGGCCAGACAAAGCCUGUUUUCCACAAGAAGGCCAAGACAACAAAGAAGAUUGUGCUGAAGCUGCAGUGCCAGAGCUGCAAGCAUUACUCACAGCGCGCUAUCAAGGUCCUCACGUCACACUUAAUCUGCCAUCCCAUCUCUUUGCUAUGUUCUGUUGUGUUCACAUGUCUGACGCUAUACUUGUACCGUUGUUACAGAGGUGCAAGCACUUUGAAAUCGGUGGAGACAAGAAGGGCAAGGGAACCUCUCUCUUCUAAGCUGAUGAUAUCCCUGUUAUGUUCAGAAUGUUGUGCCAGAACUUGCCACCCGAACAAUGUAUUAUCUUAUUAUUCUGGCUAUAACUCUAUGGGCCAUGUAGCAUAUGUUUUGCCUUCCUGUCAACUACUUCAGAUCCAUGAGACAAGUAAAAAUGAUCUUUAUGGUCUUGAGUUCGUUAUGGGUGUUCUUGAUCUUACUAGGAUUGUAUAUGUUUCUGGUUUUACGUUUUGA